Long non-coding RNA from Rhodamnia argentea, 610 nucleotides. RefSeq lists it as uncharacterized. NCBI's taxonomy places the organism in Eukaryota, Viridiplantae, Streptophyta, Magnoliopsida, Myrtales, Myrtaceae. The transcript has 2 exons. The record is from RefSeq and is a predicted model, not a curated record.
GAGCGGGAAAGCGAACAAGGUUCAUGCAUUUGAAGUAGCGGGAAAGCGAACAAACACAAAAAGAUUGGCUAGAACGGUCAGAGAUCAUAUGGCGAGGCAUUUCCGAAUUCGCUUGCAUUUGCAAUGCCGACCAGAACCAUUGAGUUCUCAGCUGUAUGAUUUCAGUAACCUCUCCAGAAUUGAAGCAUAAGAGUCCGGUGCAGCAUCCGGUGCGAUAAACCUGAACUGGAAAUCUACACGGCUUACUGAGAAAUGCAAAUCUUCAGGCCUUAGGACUGGUCAAUGUUCAUAGGCUUACCCUUUGCUUUUCUGCUAUCAAAGCCGGUGAUUGUACUGAACAACAUUAGUCAAUCUUUGCCUUUAACAUCAUAUCAUGCUUGAUCCUAUCGAGCUAGAACCCGCACUGCAUCCUAAGUAUGAUGAUCAUAGUGUAGCUACACUCAAAAGUUGCGCAAGAAUCUGAAAACUUAGAAAAGAAAUUGCUCCUCUCUUUGGACAAGAGCCGCCAAAUGAGAUAAUGAUGCUUGAGUAUUCGAUACAAGCAUAUUUCCAGCAGUAUGGCGUGUGCAUUUACAACAGCAAAGCAAAGAUAAGGGAGUACAACAAAGCC